CAGAGUCCGUAUAUAAACAUGUUUAUAUAUAUACGGACUCUGUUUCUGACUAAUUACACGACAGUCGGCACUUCUUCGUAAUUUUCUGCUUUGUGAGAUUGAAAACAUCCGCGCUUAAUACAUACGGGGUUGUCAUUGUAGUUACAAAGGCAACAAAAUGAAUAGGUCAGCGCUUCUCCUCUUGCUUGUCAUCGCACUCCUCGUCUUCAGUAAAACAGUGUCAGCUUUUAUCCUCAAAGGACGUAUUAAAUCUGGCCAUCGUUGUUGUCAUUGCUUUGAGUUAAAAUUAGACGUUGAAGAUCUUCAUCCAAAUGAAAAUAUAGUAAAAGACAAGUAAUGGAAAAAAAACUAAAUCAGGACUCACAAUUAAUUUGAAUAACUUAAUAAACUAACACGCAUACACA
Ciona intestinalis (vase tunicate) is the source of this 404-nucleotide non-coding RNA. The record is from RefSeq and is a predicted model, not a curated record. NCBI's taxonomy places the organism in Eukaryota, Metazoa, Chordata, Ascidiacea, Phlebobranchia, Cionidae.